AGUCUUCCGUAAGGGGUAACCUGCGGAGGGAUCAUUACACAAAUAUGAAGGCGGGCUGGAACCUCUCGGGGUUACAGCCUUGCUGAAUUAUUCACCCUUGUCUUUUGCGUACUUCUUGUUUCCUUGGUGGGUUCGCCCACCACUAGGACAAACAUAAACCUUUUGUAAUUGCAAUCAGCGUCAGUAACAAAUUAAUAAUUACAACUUUCAACAACGGAUCUCUUGGUUCUGGCAUCGAUGAAGAACGCAGCGAAAUGCGAUAAGUAGUGUGAAUUGCAGAAUUCAGUGAAUCAUCGAAUCUUUGAACGCACAUUGCGCCCUUUGGUAUUCCAAAGGGCAUGCCUGUUCGAGCGUCAUUUGUACCCUCAAGCUUUGCUUGGUGUUGGGCGUCUUGUCUCUAGCUUUGCUGGAGACUCGCCUUAAAGUAAUUGGCAGCCGGCCUACUGGUUUCGGAGCGCAGCACAAGUCGCACUCUCUAUCAGCAAAGGUCUAGCAUCCAUUAAGCCUUUUUUUCAACUUUUGACCUCGGAUCAGGUAGGGAUACCCGCUGAACUUAAGCAUAUCAAUAAGCAA
RNAcentral lists this ribosomal RNA (573 nucleotides) under Alternaria brassicae. RNAcentral describes it as "eukaryotic LSU rRNA". The stretch from base 203 to 356 matches the Rfam family "5.8S ribosomal RNA". Lineage: Eukaryota; Fungi; Ascomycota; Dothideomycetes; Pleosporales; Pleosporaceae. The record is from RNAcentral.